Molecule: ribosomal RNA, 320 nt
Filed under: uncultured eukaryote
Lineage: Eukaryota
Description: partial 18S ribosomal RNA
Rfam family: Eukaryotic small subunit ribosomal RNA
Source: RNAcentral
CCCCUAGAUGUUCUGGGCCGCACGCGCGCUACACUGAACAGUUCAACAAGUCUUAACCUUGGCCGAUAGGUCUGGGUAAUCUUUGAACGCUGUUCGUGAUUGGGAUAGACCUUUGCAAUUAUGGGUCUUCAACGAGGAAUUCCUGGUAAACGCAAGUCAUCAGCUUGCAUUGAUUACGUCCCUGCCCUUUGUACACACCGCCCGUCGCACCUACCGAUUGAAUGGUCCGGUGAAAUCUCGGGACGGCGGCUUGGUCGCUUGCGUCCGACUGCUGAAACUUGAUUAAACCAUAUCAUUUAGAGGAAGGUGAAGUCGUAACA